Non-coding RNA from Gynuella sunshinyii YC6258, 176 nucleotides. The record is from Rfam. NCBI's taxonomy places the organism in Bacteria, Pseudomonadati, Pseudomonadota, Gammaproteobacteria, Oceanospirillales, Saccharospirillaceae.
AAACUCGUGAGGGAAUGUCUGAAGGAAGCCUAAUCCAAAAUCGUGUGGCGAUGAAAAAGAACCUAAUAUGAGGUGUGACGUAAGUGAGACGAGUGGGCACGUAACUGCGAAGUCUUCCAUCUGCGAUUGGCUUACGUUUUAUAAAUUAGGCGUACAUGCGAGGAAAGUUAAUUGUC